GGAGGGUGCAAGCGUUAAUCGGAAUUACUGGGCGUAAAGCGCACGUAGGUGGAAAAUUAAGUUGGAUGUGAAAGCCCCGGGCUCAACCUGGGAGGGCCAUCCAAAACUGGUUAUCUAGAGUACAGUAGAGGGAAGUGGAAUUUCCGGUGUAGCGGUGAAAUGCGUAGAUAUCGGAAGGAACACCAGUGGCGAAGGCGACUUUCCGGACUGAUACUGACACCGAGGUGCGAAAGCGUGGGGAGCGAACAGGAUUAGAUACCCUGGGUAGUCCACGCCGUAAACGAUGAGAACUAGCCGUUGGGUAAAUUAAUUACUGAGUGGCGCAGCAAACCGCGUUAAGUUCUCCGCCUGGGGAGUACGGCCGCAAGGCUA
This 372-nucleotide ribosomal RNA is filed under the name uncultured organism. Its description in RNAcentral is "partial 16S ribosomal RNA". It matches the Rfam family "Bacterial small subunit ribosomal RNA", at positions 527 to 896 of the family's 1533-position model. The record is from RNAcentral.